AAUAACCGAACAUGAGUGAAGAAUAUUUUUGACAGGACACACAGUUUUGAUCCGCUUGAAAAAGUUUGUAUUUCUUCUCGCAGGAUUCUGAUAGUUAUUAUGCUCAAUUUCUUCCAUUAUUACCGUAGCUGCUACUCCGUGACUGUCCAAUGGCAUUAGUUUGUGGUGUUCAAAACUAUUAAACUGAAGCCUAUGAAGCUUAACAUUCGGACUGGCAGUACAGUUGGAAUCCCCUAUUAUAUGAAGAAUAUACUCGAAGUAAAAAGGAAUUGAACUUCACCAGUUCUCGGAUAUUAGUGAAUUUAUUAACGAAUGCAACUAUUAUAAAAGUAAAAUAAAAAUAUGGAAAUUUAA
Long non-coding RNA from Aedes aegypti (yellow fever mosquito), 354 nucleotides. RefSeq lists it as uncharacterized. The transcript has 2 exons. The record is from RefSeq and is a predicted model, not a curated record. NCBI's taxonomy places the organism in Eukaryota, Metazoa, Arthropoda, Insecta, Diptera, Culicidae.